Long non-coding RNA from Rhinichthys klamathensis goyatoka, 257 nucleotides. RefSeq lists it as uncharacterized. The record is from RefSeq and is a predicted model, not a curated record. NCBI's taxonomy places the organism in Eukaryota, Metazoa, Chordata, Actinopteri, Cypriniformes, Leuciscidae. The transcript has 2 exons.
AAGGGUCUAUUAUAAGAGAAGGCAGUGUCUGUUCAAAGGUAAUACAACUGACUCAUCAUAACUUUGUAAGAAACAGUCCCAGCUCAACUACACAGCAGCAUUGUGUAAACAUUAACUGUAAAACAGGCUUUAAAGUCACAAUAUUUGCAGCAAAUUGUAAUAACAUUUUAAAAAUAUACUGUACAAACAACUGUGUAGUGUAAAGAACCAUACACCAUUCUGUCCAUGUCAAUAAAAUAUACAGUAUCACAGCAACA